AAGUCGUAACAAGGUUUCCGUAGGUGAACCUGCGGAAGGAUCAUUACCGAGUGAGGGCCCUCUGGGUCCAACCUCCCACCCGUGUUUAUCAUACCUAGUUGCUUCGGCGGGCCCGCCGAAGACCCCCCUGAACGCUGUCUGAAGAUUUGCAGUCUGAGCGAUUAGCUAAAUCAGUUAAAACUUUCAACAACGGAUCUCUUGGUUCCG
RNAcentral lists this unclassified non-coding RNA (207 nucleotides) under Penicillium raperi. RNAcentral describes it as "partial internal transcribed spacer region". The stretch from base 1 to 46 matches the Rfam family "Eukaryotic small subunit ribosomal RNA", at positions 1786 to 1831 of the family's 1831-position model. The record is from RNAcentral. Lineage: Eukaryota; Fungi; Ascomycota; Eurotiomycetes; Eurotiales; Aspergillaceae.